This 86-nucleotide transfer RNA is filed under the name Ancylobacter crimeensis. Its description in RNAcentral is "tRNA-Leu". It matches the Rfam family "tRNA". Rfam says of the family: Transfer RNA (tRNA) molecules are approximately 80 nucleotides in length. Lineage: Bacteria; Pseudomonadati; Pseudomonadota; Alphaproteobacteria; Hyphomicrobiales; Xanthobacteraceae. The record is from RNAcentral.
GCGGGCGUGGCGAAACUGGUAGACGCACGGCACUCAAAAUGCCGCUCCCAAAAGGAAUGUCGGUUCGAUUCCGACCGCCCGCACCA